UCGGUUCUUACCAGGCAAGACAU
This 23-nucleotide microRNA is filed under the name Schistosoma mansoni. RNAcentral describes it as "sma-miR-745-5p". Its record names the gene sma-miR-745-5p. Lineage: Eukaryota; Metazoa; Platyhelminthes; Trematoda; Strigeidida; Schistosomatidae. The record is from miRBase by way of RNAcentral.